Non-coding RNA from Chiloscyllium plagiosum (whitespotted bambooshark), 885 nucleotides. The record is from RefSeq and is a predicted model, not a curated record. Lineage: Eukaryota; Metazoa; Chordata; Chondrichthyes; Orectolobiformes; Hemiscylliidae.
UUGUGAGUUCAGCUGCUGAUGUUGUUGAGAAAUAGGACUCAUUGCUUCUAAACGAAUGAAGAGAAAUGUGUGAUGGGAAGAAGGAGAUAGUUUGGCAUGGAGGACAUGAAGAGGAACUUUUGAAAUUACCUUUCCAAAGGAGGUGAAUACAAUAUUUGAGGUCUGAGCUGACUGGAAUUAUUAUAGAUCUUCAGCACCUUGGCCUCAGGAAUAUUCCCAGAAGACUUUCAUAGGAAUUUUAAAGAGGAGAAACUGACGACAAACUCCUGAACUGUUGGAUAACCAAUCAACUGUGGCCUCAAAGGAAUUCCAGGCUGCUAACUCCAGUUUUAGACUUCUGGACGUCAUCUUAAAAGCAAAGACAUUGAUAAACUGCCUGGAGAGUGGCAGGAGGCCUCUGGCAGCAGCAACAGCACACCCAGGAUGAGCCAGACAGGGCUCCACCAUGGGGAGCAGGUCCCAGGCUGACUCAGCUGGCUGGGACUUGCAGACUGAGCUGAGGGCCCAGGUCUGUGGCUAGGCCUGAUCGCCUGUAGGAGUUGAAGUGUCAGUGGAAGGGACGGCGGAGGACCUUGACAACUGAUGAGCAGCAGCAAAGUGUAGAGGAGGAGUGUCGUUUGGGGAACAGGAGAUACAGAGCCCCAAGCCCAUGGCUCCAGAUCGGACACUGCAGUUGUGAUUAUGAGACUUCAGGAGUCCUUUUCAGGGACUCUGGCCAAUGUCAAGCAAUGACUGGAGAAGCAGCAGAGGAGGAACAAGUAGUAGAGAGAAAGGUGAACUGUAUUGCAGUAAAAUCUUGCUUUAUAAUUAAAAUUUCAAGAUGGCGCUGGAGCGUGGGGACACUUUGCAUAUGACAUGCAAAGAUACUUUUCACUUUUUUAUACA